RNAcentral lists this unclassified non-coding RNA (305 nucleotides) under plant metagenome. RNAcentral describes it as "partial contains 5.8S ribosomal RNA, internal transcribed spacer 2, and large subunit ribosomal RNA". The stretch from base 1 to 105 matches the Rfam family "5.8S ribosomal RNA", at positions 50 to 154 of the family's 154-position model. The record is from RNAcentral.
GAAAUGCGAUAAGUAAUGUGAAUUGCAGAAUUCAGUGAAUCAUCGAAUCUUUGAACGCACAUUGCGCCCGCCAGUAUUCUGGCGGGCAUGCCUGUUCGAGCGUCAUUUCAACCAUCAAGCCCCCGGCUUGUGUUGGGGACCUGCGGCUGCCCGCAGGCCCUGAAAAACAGAGGCGGGCUCGCUGUCACACCGAGCGUAGUAGCAUACAUUCUCGCUCAGGGCGUGCUGCGGGUUCCGGCCGUUAAACGACCUUCAUAACCCAAGGUUGACCUCGGAUCAGGUAGGAAGACCCGCUGAACUUAAGC